Molecule: ribosomal RNA, 468 nt
Filed under: uncultured bacterium
Lineage: Bacteria
Description: partial 16S ribosomal RNA
Rfam family: Bacterial small subunit ribosomal RNA
Source: RNAcentral
GACGAACGCUGGCGGCGUGCUUAACACAUGCAAGUCGAACGGAAAGGCCCUGCUUUUGUUGGUUGCUCGAGUGGCGAACGGGUGAGUAACACGUGAGUAACCUGCCCUUGACUUUGUGAUAACUUCAGGAAACUGGGGCUAAUACCGGAUAGGAGCUCCUGCUGCAUGGUGGGGGUUGGAAAGUUUCGGCGGUUGGGGAUGGACUCGCGGCUUAUCAGCUUGUUGGUGGGGUAGUGGCUUACCAAGGCUUUGACGGGUAGCCGGCCUGAGAGGGUGAACGGCCACAAUGGGCCUGAGAUACGGCCCAGACGCCUACGGGAGGCAGCAGUGGGGAAUAUUGCACAGUGGGCGGAAGCCUGAUGCAGCAACGCCGCGUGCGGGAUGCCCGCCUUCGGGUUGUAAACCGCUUUCGCCUGUGACGAAGCGUGAGUGACGGUAAUGGGUAAAGAAGCACCGGCUAACUACGUG